GCAAGCUCUGCCUUCUGGGUUCACGCCAUUUUCUUGCCUCAGCCUCUCCGAGUACCUGGGACUACAGGCGCCCGCCACCACGCCCGGCUAAUUUUUUGUGUUUUUAGUAGAGACGGGCUUUCACCGUGGACUCUAUCUCCUGACCUCGUGAUCCGCCCGCAUAGGCCUCCCAAAGUGCUGGGAUUACAAGCGUGAGCAACCGCGCCCGGCCCCCUUCAGGUAGAAGAAUGCUUCAAGCUUCAGACAAAUUUAAGCAUUCUCACUUGGAAGCACCUUAAAUCCUUGGUGUUCAGAUUUGACAACCGUAAAAAUGUUCGCUAAAGAGGUUUGCGGGGGAUUCCUUGAGCAGCACAAGAUUAUUUUUUUCCCAACAACUAAAAAUAUUUAGUAGGCACUCUGGCCUUUCCCCUUUCCUCAAAUGCUGCACUUGGAAUCAAAUCUUCUAUCAGUUUACCCAUGAGAGGGCAUCUUUAAAUGAAAGAAUCCAGUCUCUAGCUGGAACUUCAAGAAGCAACAAGACAUUGCUUAAAAUUCCCCUAUCUGUUAGAAGGCUAAAACAGUCACUCCUUUGGAGACCAACGCACCUGCAGUUGUCCUGUUUUCUUCUGCCACACCAGCCAUUGUGCAACAUCUGGAUAAGUAGCUACAACACAGCGUCUUUUCCUGUCUUGGGGCUCAGCCUCCCGUGGACCAAAGGGUCAAGUGUUUUGCUUAAUUCCAUGGCCUCCUCUGCUGUCUCUUCCAUCAGUGCUGUCAUUUCCCCAGUUGGAGAGAUGAUGACUAGCCUGGACAAUAGACAAUGUCUUGCUCUGUUGUCCAGGUUGGAGUACAGUGGUGCUAACAUGGCUCACUGCAGCCUCAACCUUCCAGGUUCAAGCAAUCUCCCACCUCAGCCUCCCGAGUAGCUGGGACUACAGGCAUGCACU
This 926-nucleotide long non-coding RNA is filed under the name Homo sapiens (human). Its description in RNAcentral is "HSALNT0140680". The record is from RNAcentral. Lineage: Eukaryota; Metazoa; Chordata; Mammalia; Primates; Hominidae.